Molecule: long non-coding RNA, 265 nt
Organism: Megalobrama amblycephala (Wuchang bream)
Lineage: Eukaryota; Metazoa; Chordata; Actinopteri; Cypriniformes; Xenocyprididae
Exons: 3
Source: RefSeq, a predicted model, not a curated record
UCGUGACUGGCUGUUUCAACAGCUGUUGUCACAUGCAGUAAUUGGACGUGUUAAAAGCCAGAUUAAGGAUUUGAGAAAAGGUAUCAAAGAAACUGGUAUCUGGCCACUUCUAUCCCAGAGACACGACAUGCAACGCAUAGUUUUCCCAAGGGAUUCAGUUAUGGAACAUUACAUCACAGACAGUCCUUCAAAAAAUUGAAUGGCCAAAGGACAAUGACUCUAUUUCUGUUGAGACAAAGUGCGUCAUCACAAGCUAUAUGCGAAG